Otolemur garnettii (small-eared galago) is the source of this 100-nucleotide small nuclear RNA. NCBI's taxonomy places the organism in Eukaryota, Metazoa, Chordata, Mammalia, Primates, Galagidae. The record is from Ensembl.
UUGCUUUGACAGCACAUAUACUAAAAUUGGAAUGAUACAAAGAUUAGCAUGGCCCUUGCGCAAAAAUGACAUGCAAAUUCAUAAAAUGUUCCAUAUUUUU